CGCAUCUGGAGCAUCUGGAGCUGAAGUCUAUCCGCCCCCCGCUCUUCUCGCUCCCAAUUUUGGAACCUAGUUACUCUGAUUCUCUCAACCAAAUCAAAACAUUGUGUUUUUGUGUGCUUUCCUUGAUAAUUCAAGCGUUCUUAACUCU
Molecule: non-coding RNA, 148 nt
Organism: Caenorhabditis elegans
Lineage: Eukaryota; Metazoa; Nematoda; Chromadorea; Rhabditida; Rhabditidae
Source: Ensembl